Long non-coding RNA from Cynoglossus semilaevis (tongue sole), 965 nucleotides. RefSeq lists it as uncharacterized. The record is from RefSeq and is a predicted model, not a curated record. The transcript has 3 exons. Lineage: Eukaryota; Metazoa; Chordata; Actinopteri; Pleuronectiformes; Cynoglossidae.
AAGGAUAUAAAAAAAAAACAGUGCAGUGAUAUGACAUGGGAUUUUGGGAGAGUCUUUUUAAUAGUAUUUUAUUUCAUUAUUUCUUUGAAGAAAAAGUCGUUGUAGUUUACAUUAAUUAAAUAUUUCUUUGGCAUUGUUAGCAUGCAAAUCUUAUGUUGAGUAAAUGUUUAAGUGUCCUGUUUGAUCAGCUGCUUAAAACUGGUUUAAAAUUUGACAGGUUGAAUUAUUGAGCUAUACCUUGUUAUGAUCCAACACUGUUUGAUUCAGUGAUUAUUUUAUAAUUCUAGUUCCUCAAUCUUGUGACUUAUGGACACAAAGCACAAAGUUUCUUUUGUAUCUUGAUUUCACUUUGUCAUGUUAACUUAAUCUGUUUUUUUUUUGUUUGUUUGUUUUACAUGUAACUCCUAAACCAGCUUCCAAUCAACCAGACAAGCCUAACCGGCUGUUGCCCAUCUAUACAGCAGGAUCUUCAGUGUCAGUCAAUGAGGCUGAGGCCAUACCAGUUCCCCGUUCUGGUCAGAGGUUCCAUGAGUCUCUAAUCUCAGAGCUGAGAGUGCGACCCUGAAUGCAGCACGGAAAGCGGCAGCGAGGCCGUGUGUGAAGAGCACAGAGCCGCAGCAAAGCCCCCCCACACACAAGUGCUCCAAGACGGUCAGCCACAGUCCACUCUCUCCUCGGCUCUGGUGACUCUUCGUCCGCGCAGCCGCGACGUUCUGGAACAUGUAGGAUACCAUAGUUUAUGUUUUUACGUUUUGUUUUUUUUUCUUCUUUGGUGUAAAUAACAAAAAAGUUUCACCGGGUAGCCAGCACACUGUGGAGCCGCGGUCAUCUGGUCUAAUUCAUCUGGUCGCCCGCAGCCCCUGUAACGAGCCACGAACUUGAGUGUUUGAAGUACAGACCGAGGCUAGCCGCUGUUGAAAGCUGCCGUCUGCGAUUCGCUCGGCUUGACAACAGCUGCGUCAUGA